Molecule: non-coding RNA, 295 nt
Organism: Pelobates cultripes (western spadefoot toad)
Lineage: Eukaryota; Metazoa; Chordata; Amphibia; Anura; Pelobatidae
Source: the annotation of a GenBank genome assembly
UUUUUUUAUCCUGGAGCCCUUCUGUUUUUGUACUGCAAAGAUUCAUAUAAAUCCUGUGGUGGGGAUCUAUACCACCGGAACCCUGUGAAUUGAGCAAUUCCAUGUCUCCAUGUCUCUGUGUUUCUCUUUUGCAUAUGUCUCCUGAAUACAUCCAAAGUUGAAAAGAAUCCCAGAGUAGGGAUUGUACCACUCCAAUCCAAUACAAGAGAGCCAAUUAAGGCUCACUAAUAUGUGAGUGAAAUAUUUACUAUUGUCAUUUCCACUUUGGUUGAAAGUUUACUUCACCAUAGAGCAC